GACGAACGCUGGCGGCGUGCUUAACACAUGCAAGUCGAACGAUGAAGCAGAGAAACGCGCACUUCGGUUCAAAUUUCACUUCGGAUUAGUGGCAGACGGGUGAGUAACGCGUGAGCAACCUACCUCUUACAAAGGGAUAGCCUCGGGAAACCGUGAUUAAUACCAUAUGACACAUUCAUAAGGCAUCUUAAGAAUGUUAAAGCUACGGCGGUAAGAGAUGGGCUCGCGUCCCAUUAGCUAGUUGGUGAGGUAACGGCCCACCAAGGCGACGAUGGGUAACCGGCCUGAGAGGGUGAACGGUCACAUUGGAACUGAGACACGGUCCAAACUCCUACGGGAGGCAGCAGUGGGGAAUAUUGCACAAUGGAGGGAACUCUGAUGCAGCGACGCCGCGUGAGCGAUGAAGGAAUUCGUUUCGUAAAGCUCUGUCCUAUGGGAAGAAAAGGACUGUACCAUAGGAGAAAGCCCCGGCUAAAUACGUG
RNAcentral lists this ribosomal RNA (482 nucleotides) under uncultured bacterium. RNAcentral's name for it is "partial 16S ribosomal RNA". It matches the Rfam family "Bacterial small subunit ribosomal RNA", at positions 28 to 507 of the family's 1533-position model. The record is from RNAcentral.